Molecule: ribosomal RNA, 497 nt
Filed under: uncultured bacterium
Lineage: Bacteria
Description: partial 16S ribosomal RNA
Rfam family: Bacterial small subunit ribosomal RNA
Source: RNAcentral
GAUGAACGCUGGCGGCGUGCCUAAUACAUGCAAGUCGAGCGAACAGGCGAGGCGCUUGCGCCUCUGACGUUAGCGGCGGACGGGUGAGUAACACGUGUAUAACCUACCUAUCAGACUGGGAUAACUUCGGGAAACCGGAUCUAAUACCGGAUAAUAUAUUGAACCGCAUGGUUCAAUGGUGAAUGACGGUUUUGCUGGCUCGUAUAGAUGGAUCCGCGCCGCAUUAGCUAGUUGGUAAGGUAACGGCUUACCAAGGCAACGAUGCGUAGCCGACCUGAGAGGGUGAUCGGCCACACUGGAACUGAGACACGGUCCAGACUCCUACGGGAGGCAGCAGUAGGGAAUCUUCCGCAAUGGGCGAAAGCAUGACGGAGCAACGCCGCGUGAGUGAUGAAGGUCUUCGGAUCGUAAAACUCUGCUAUUAGGGAAGAACAAAUGUGUAAGUAAAUAUGCACGUCUUGACGGUAACUAAUAAGAAAGCAACGGCUAACUACGUG